GGCUUCUGCCCUACAGGUGGCAGCGUGUGAGCAGCCUGCGACCGGCGGCUCCCCGUCUUGUCUUCAGGGGUCCAAAGGAACCCGAGGGGAGGCAGCCGGGGCAGUGGACUUGAGGAGGGGCUGGUGGGGCCCGUGUCACUCUGCGCGCUGUCCCUGCUUGGGACAGGCCGCCAUUCCGGCUCUCCUGAGGACUUGGCGGUUUCCACUCUCUCUGUCGUUCUGCUCGAAACCCUUUACCUUAGCUUUGCUCUGGGAUUCAAGGCCAAAUGUGCCCGGCAGAAAUCCGUGGAUAAAGCAGUCUCGAAGCAUCCAGCACCCCCCAUCUCCCGCCCGCGCUCACUGAUCCACUGUUUAUCCACACCCUUUGAAGAGCCCUCUGCGAAGCCGCUCUCCUGCCAGAUCCCCUGACUUUUAAAAAUUCCAACUCCGGGGCGAGGAUAUAGCUCGGUGUCAGAACGCUUGCCUACCGUGCUGCAGGCCCUGGGUUCCUCCCCUGCUGUCAAGAGGAGAGAAAAUGAAUCAGUUUCUUUUCAUUUAUGUGUGACUGCUGCAUAGCAAGUUUAACUUCCCUGAGCUUUCUUCCAGAAUGAAAGGACACAUCCUGCAGAGUUGUAACAUGGACCUGUGAAAUCGCUGGCUUGGUGCCUAGCAUAUGAAGGCUCUCCUGGGAGGCCUCCUGUUCCUGGUCACAUUUGUGAUGUCAUGCAGUGCCCACUGCUUUACCAUACCCAUGGUGAGAGGUGAAGGUGACUCCUCUGCUAAAUGCAAGGAUCUUGAUGAAAUCACACACUCAAUGAACUCAGAGUGGGAGACUAGGAACUGUGGCAAAUGUUCUUGUGAUGAAGAUGGAAUUCACUGCUGCACUAUGUUCAAGAACUCUGUCAUGGAGACAAGAUGAAGGCCUGUUAGAAGAACUAGGGUACCAGCCAUCCCACUCUGCCACCCAGCACAGCUCUGUGCAUGAAACAGCUCACACUGCUGUUGACUGGGAGCUCCUCACUGACUGACACCAUGCCUUGGCCCAUAUCCUUACAGCAGGUUCUGAGGAAACCUAGACUGAUCUCUACCAUGGAGUCAUAGAUCAGGCCUUACACGGGUGCCACAUUCCUCCCUGCAUGCACAGAAUACACAAGACAUUCUGACUGUCCAGGGCAGCGCUGCCACAUGUGGGACAGAAAGCCUGUCUACCCAUCCAUCCUAGUGCUCAGGAAGUGACCAGCAUGGAAGAUGCUGGAAUGUGGGAGGGAGGGGUAUCCCUGCCAUGCAUUGUGCUCUGUUACCAGAAGAGAUAACUCCAUCAUCAGGAACAAGGAGAAAUCUCAGACCAGGGAUACAGUCCUCAGGGAAAUGAUCAAACUGGGGUCAGCUUUUUGGGAAAUUCCAACCCAUAGUCCAGGUGCACAGCAUAGAGCUUAUUACCCCAUUGAGGCCCACCCCAAAGGUGUAAAAAGUCUUAAGUGUACAGAAGCAGAUAACUUAGGACAAUGUUUUCAUCCACGAGUUGAUCCUGGAAUUUGACUUUGACAAAAGAACAUUUUCAUCCUCUUCCUCACCCAUCCAAAGCAGUGUGGCUCCUCAGUAUUCCCUCCAUGGCCCCCUAGACACUGACUCUUUCAGCCUUUGGUUAUGCACUGAAGAAGACUGCAGAUAGCUGCUUAUAGGGGCCAAGACAUUCAGCAUUGACCCAGGGGAUCAGACAUGAGAGACACCUCUGGGGACAUCAUCCUUCUGGUGGAAACAAACUCUGGAAUUGUGCCUUGUGGGCUAAGAUCCUGCUUUAAUUAAGACUAAGCAUUUGUUCAGUUGAACUAGAAAAUGUUCUGAAAGGCUUUUAUGUGAAGGAAGAGUGAUGAAGCUAGACUAUUAACUUGAAUAAUAACACCACAAAGUUAUAAUAAAUGGUUUGACAUCCAGUACACAAAAGGGUGUCUAAGAAGUAUGAUAAAAUCUUAAUGAUUAUUACUUUUUAAUAGAGGAACUAUAACUAGAAGAGGAUCAUUUGUACCUUCCAAUAGUCAAUUAAUGUGGUUUUUAUAGCACAUAUAAGAAAAUGUCAUUUAAGUUCUAAAACUCAGAAGUGGUUGUUUCCAGUUUGGAUGUGAGAUGGUACAGCCACAGAGGAAGAUGCCUCAAUAGUUUCUCAAGUGUGAGAUCCACAGUUCCCUAUGGCCCAGCAAGUCCUCUCCCAGGGAGAGCCCUAAAAAUAUGUAUCAGAGACACAAGCAAACUUUUAUGAUCCCAUUUUAGUGAGUAUAAAUGAAAGUGCAGGUGUCCCAAACUCCCUGCCCACACAAAUAAGUAAACCUAGUGUGGGGUUUCAAUGCCCAGGGCUAUUGCUGUGGCAUGGAGGAAAGAAGCUCUAACAGGCUGAUGGCAGAAACGAGCCCACACAGCAGACAAGCAUCCUGGGGAUCUACUGACAUGAAUGAACUAGAAGAGGCAAAGUCACUGAGACAGAUUUGAGGAUCCCAGGAAUGGACAGGAAGUGGGUAUGGAAAUUAGAGAUUAAUGGGUACAUUAUUUCUGUUUGGAGUCAUUACAGACUUUUGGAAAAAGCCAGGCAUUGUGGAGUACACCAGUUACCUCAGUUGCUCAGGAUAUUGAAGAGGAAGGAGUGAAUAUUGAAGGCCAGCAUGGAAGAAACACUAGGAUGAAGCCAAACUAAUGCAAAUACAAAGCAACAAAAAUCUAAUAUAAAAAGUUUUGGAAAUAGUGGAGAUGGUUAAACAAUACAGCAAAUGUUCUCAAUGCCAGUUAAUUAUAUAUCUGAAAGCAGUUAAAUUGAAAAAUUUAUAUACUACAUAUUUUAUUUCAACAGAAAUUAAUUAAAGUUAAACUACUAUUUAUGGAAUGAUGCCUAAUCAUUACCAUGUGUUUGGCAGGUAAUCAACAUGCAUAAUUUUGUCAUCUGUGUACAGGACACAGAGCCCAUCACUAGAUGCAAACUUAAUCCCACCCAGAACUACCAUGGGAGAGAGAACAUCCCAGGGAGACUGAGGGGGAGCUCACAGACAUCAGGCAAUCAGACGCCCUGACCUGGCUGCUGGGUGACCUUGGUUCUGUGCCUCCCUCACUGUGUUCCUGGAGCUCAGCCUGGAUGGGGCUGGGCCUGGGCCUAAAGGCACUGAAUACAUGGGCAUCUGAGCAGUGUUCUGCAUGUGGACUAUGGCUCCAGAUAUUGUCUUAGAGAUGCUUAACCAAAUAAAUACUGUGUGAUACCCAUAAUAAAAAAGACAGAUUAUGAGAAAACAGA
Heterocephalus glaber (naked mole-rat) is the source of this 3253-nucleotide non-coding RNA. The record is from RefSeq and is a predicted model, not a curated record. Lineage: Eukaryota; Metazoa; Chordata; Mammalia; Rodentia; Bathyergidae.